Molecule: ribosomal RNA, 560 nt
Filed under: Nibea albiflora (white flower croaker)
Lineage: Eukaryota; Metazoa; Chordata; Actinopteri; Sciaenidae
Description: partial 16S ribosomal RNA
Rfam family: Bacterial large subunit ribosomal RNA
Source: RNAcentral
AGAUUCAUACUCGUACCUUUUGCAUCAUGAGUUAGCCAGAAAAUCUCAAGCAAAGAGCACUUUAGUUUGAUUCCCCGAAACUACGUGAGCUACUUCAAGACAGCCUAAAAUAGGGCGAACCCAUCUCUGUAGCAAAAGAGUGGGAUGAGCUUCGAGUAGCGGUGACAGACCUAUCGAACCUAGUUAUAGCUGGUUGCCUGAGAAAUGAAUAGAAGUUCAGCCUUUCGAGUUCUCCCCUCAACCCCGUCUUCACCCCCGGACAACCAAAGAAAUCGAAAGAGUUAGUUAAAGGGGGUACAGCCCCUUUAACACAAGAUACAACUUUCCCAGGAGGGUAGAGAUCACAUUCAAAUUCCAAGGUAAAAUGUUUGGGUGGGCCUAAGAGCAGCCACCCCUAUAGAAUGCGUUAAAGCUCAAAUAUAAUUACCACCCCUAAUCCUGACAACCCCAUCUUAACCCCCUAACCUUACCAGGCCGUCCCAUGCAACCAUGGGAGCGACCAUGCUAAUAUGAGUAAUAAGAGGGCAAAUCCGCCUCUCUCCACGCACAAGUGUAACUCG